CCCCCCCCCCCCCCCCCCCCCCCCCCCCCCCCCCCCCCCCCCCCCCCCCCCCCCUGGCAAAACACGCUGUGGCACCUGCCCCGUCCCAUCCUCCCUGCCUCCACCCCUCUGUCCCCCCAGCCACGCCCUGGGUCGGUGCCAGGGGCACCCCCAGCCCCUCCUCCGCCCACCUACCCCAGCAGCUCUUUGGUUCGAGGCGUCCUCUGACCCUGCCUGGUCACGCCUUCGUGUGCAGGGGUUUUUUUUUCUUUCUCUCUUCAUUCUUUUGUCCUUUCUUUUAGCUUUUGAACUUGAUCAAUGUUUUUUUGUUUGGUUUUUUAUUUGUCUUUUUGUUCUUUUUUUUUUUUUUUUUUUUUUUGUUUUUUUUGGUUUUGUUUUUGUUUGGUUUUUUUGGUUUUUUUGUUUUUUUUUUUUUUUGGUGAACGCAUAUCCUUUUCUUUACUUCUCUUUUCUUUUUUUUUUUUUUCCCUUCUUUUCAACAAGGUGCCUUCCUGUGACACAACUGAUCACUCUCAAAGUAAAGUGAAUCCAAGAAACCAUAGCGCUAGAACACAGAUGGUACUUUUUACCCGCAUAAAUUCAAGAGUCCCUUUUGGUUUUUUUUUGUUUGGUUUUUUUUUUUUUUUUUUGGUUGAUGGUUGGUUUUGGAGGAUUUUUUUUUUUUUUUCCCCCAAGUGGUGGGGGAAGAAGGGGACCUUGCCUCCCCUUUCAUCCCCAAGCCUCUCCCAGCCCUUCCCUGUCCCCAGGCACCUCCUGCUCCUCCCGAGGACACCCUGGGCUGGCAAGGAGCCCUCGGGGCAGCCGGGGGGGGCUGAUUGUGAGGGUUUGGCCUCGUGAUUGCUUUUUUAUAUGGCACAAGUCACCAUCGAGAGCUCGGAGGAAACGAUCCCUUUGAAGCUUAAGUACCAUUGCUCCAGAAAUUCGCGUUUAAGGCAGGUUGUUAAUUGGCACAAAAAAAAAAAAAAAAAAAAAAAACUGGUCCCCCCCCCCCCCCCCCCCCCCCCCCCCCCCUAAUUGCCCAAAAAAAAAAAAAAAAAAAAAAAAAAAAAAUCUGGUGUCUUUUUGGUAAGUCGCCGGUCUUUGCUGAGCUUGUUGGGUUGUGGUUUCUGUUGUUAUUCCUUUUUUUUUGGGGGACGAGUUGGUUUCUUUCUUCCCUUUCAAUCUCGUCGGGGAGUUUUCCCCCUUCUCACACCCAGGGCUGGAUUUUGCCACCAGCUCCCUUGGAUUUUUCCCCCCCCCCCCCCCCCCCCCCCCCCCCCCCCCCCCCCCCCCCCCCCCCCCCCCCCCCCCCCCCCCCCCCCCCCCCCCCCCCCCCCCCCCCCCCCCCCCCCCCCCCCACCGUGCACCGACGUUGGUUCCCAGGAGGGAAAUUUUUUUUUUUUUUUUUUGGUUGUUGUCGUUGUUGCGUUUUCGGUUUUGUAAUUUCUUUGGUAACAGAGAUGAAGAGGAGGGAUGGGAGGGGACAAGAGUGCGUGCCGAGGGGUGGAUGGGGCGAGACGCAAAGCCAACAAAUCUGCUUUGUCCGCGUCCAUUCCUCAGCCGAAAAGUGAACCAGAAAAUCCAGAGGGGAAAAAAAGGUGGAGCCAGUCACCAGGAAAGAUCAGAUCCUUCGCUCCGAGUCUCUGCUCCCGUCUCCUUUGGAACAACUGUUAUUUUUAAAUACCCGAUUCCUGUCGCUAAAAUGUGCUUCUUUGAGCUGCUGCGGGCGGAGCAGCCGGGGCCCCCGGGGAUGGGGGAGCUCGGGUCCCUGGGGGCAGGAGGGGGCUCCUCUGCCCUGGAGCUUCUCCGGGAGGGAUCUGGGGCCGGGGCGCUCUCGUGGGUCGGGGGCUGUGAGUGCACGGGGGGCCUGGGGUGUGGGUGCCCCUGCAGUG
RNAcentral lists this long non-coding RNA (1871 nucleotides) under Ficedula albicollis (Collared flycatcher). Its description in RNAcentral is "lncRNA (ENSFALG00000026590.1)". Lineage: Eukaryota; Metazoa; Chordata; Aves; Passeriformes; Muscicapidae. The record is from RNAcentral.